GAUGAACGCUAGCGGGAGGCUUAACACAUGCAAGUCGAGGGGCAGCACGUCCCGAGUAAUCGGGAUGGUGGCGACCGGCGCACGGGUGAGUAACGCGUAUGUAACCUGUCCUUAACAGGAGGAUAACCCGGAGAAAUUCGGACUAAUACUGCAUAAAAUUAUAAAUAGGCAUCUAUUAAUAAUUAAAGCUACGGCGGUAAAGGAGGGGCAUGCGUAACAUUAGCUAGUUGGGAGGGUAACGGCCUACCAAGGCAAUGAUGUUUAGGGGACCUGAGAGGGUGACCCCCCACACUGGUACUGAGACACGGACCAGACUCCUACGGGAGGCAGCAGUGAGGAAUAUUGGUCAAUGGGCGGCAGCCUGAACCAGCCAUCCCGCGUGAAGGAAGAAUGCGCUAUGCGUUGUAAACUUCUUUUUCAGGGGGAUAAAAUUUUGUAUGUAUACAGAACUGAAGGUACCCUGAGAAUAAGCAUCGGCUAACUCCGUGCCAGCAGCCGCGGUAAACGUAG
RNAcentral lists this ribosomal RNA (510 nucleotides) under uncultured bacterium. Its description in RNAcentral is "bacterial SSU rRNA". It matches the Rfam family "Bacterial small subunit ribosomal RNA", at positions 28 to 530 of the family's 1533-position model. The record is from RNAcentral.